GAGAGAGAGAGAUUUUUUUAAACUAGAUCAAAAUCUACAAUUUUGUUGUUCAUCAGUGACUGUCUUUCACCCACCAUUAUUUUCCAUACUGAAAGCAGGAUGUAGACUUUUGUGGGUAAUGAGCAGAUAUAAAUACCUAUGAAUCAGAUAAAUUAUGCUGUAUUUCUUCAUUCCAGAGAAGCUGCUACAAUGAAGGAUGUAAGCAGAUGCUGUUGCCUUGGAGACUGCUCAUUCGAGUCUCGAUUGCACCAGGUGGAUGAUAUCUUUCUUCCUCAGGAGUAUGGAGAUGGUGGCUUUAUUCUCAAAAUGCACUUCUGAGAGAAGAGCUAUGUCCUUGCAACUCACUAUAUGGAAAACAUGGCUAUACUUCAGAAAAACCUCUGUUCUAUGUAGAAGUGAUUUAGAAUCCAAGAAUAUACUUACCUGGAAGAAAAAGAACCUAUUCAGUUGGAUCUUCUCCUGCUGUAGGAGAUGGCCUGUGCCAGGCUGAACUUGGUGUUUACCAGAAAUCUUGCUCUACCCAUGAAUACCAUGACUGUGUUGGACGUUUCACCAAGUUUGCAAUACCAGAAACAGAAGUGAAUUGUGAAGAAAGAUGUGCCUUGCACAAAUGUUGUGAUGUGGGCAAUAUUGGAGCCUUACCAGUCAAUACUGAGAUAUUCUAAAGGACCUCCUUGGAGCUAAGUGAUUCAUUAGCAAUGGAACAAGGUAUAACCGCUACCAGUAUUAGCAGUGCUUUAUAGCAUAUAGGAAGUUGCUGAUAAAUUGUCUUUUGUUCUAAUCAAAUUAAUUGGCGUUCCAAGGGAAGGAUGGAUCUUUUCUAUGUUUUUGGGUAGCAUUUUAUCCUUGUAUACUGUGUGUUCUGCUCAAAAAGAAAGCUGAAUUCAGAUAUCAAUUCUGAUCAUCAUCUCCCAGUUCUUAUUUUCUCAAGAAAAUUUCUUUGGGCUGAUGCGAUCUAGCAGAUGCAAGCAUAAAAAGAUUUAGUGGCUGAACACAUUCAAGUAGGAAUAGGAUCCAGAUCUUUAACAGUGAAGUAAACAACCGUAUGAACAGUUUAC
Molecule: long non-coding RNA, 1058 nt
Filed under: Struthio camelus australis
Lineage: Eukaryota; Metazoa; Chordata; Aves; Struthioniformes; Struthionidae
Description: lncRNA (ENSSCUG00000018156.1)
Source: RNAcentral